This 391-nucleotide ribosomal RNA is filed under the name uncultured bacterium. Its description in RNAcentral is "bacterial SSU rRNA". It matches the Rfam family "Bacterial small subunit ribosomal RNA", at positions 29 to 428 of the family's 1533-position model. The record is from RNAcentral.
AUUGAACGCUGGCGGCAUGCUUUACACAUGCAAGUCGAACGGUAGACCCUUUCGGGGGUUGAGAGUGGCGAACGGGUGAGUAAUGCAUCGGAACGUGCCUAGUCGUGGGGGAUAACGUAGCGAAAGUUACGCUAAUACCGCAUACGCACUGAGGUGGAAAGCGGGGGACCGUAAGGCCUCGCGCGAUUGGAGCGGCCGAUGUCGGAUUAGCUAGUUGGUGAGGUAAAGGCUCACCAAGGCGACGAUCCGUAGCGGGUCUGAGAGGAUGAUCCGCCACACUGGGACUGAGACACGGCCCAGACUCCUACGGGAGGCAGCAGUGGGGAAUUUUGGACAAUGGGCGCAAGCCUGAUCCAGCCAUGCCGCGUGCGGGAAGAAGGCCUCGGUGUAA